Long non-coding RNA from Piliocolobus tephrosceles (Ugandan red Colobus), 2242 nucleotides. RefSeq lists it as uncharacterized. The record is from RefSeq and is a predicted model, not a curated record. Lineage: Eukaryota; Metazoa; Chordata; Mammalia; Primates; Cercopithecidae. The transcript has 3 exons.
GCUCUUCACACGGGUACCACGAAUACCCAGUGGCCUCCUGAAGACAGAGUCCGGUCUCACAUUCCCCAGCUUCCUGUGAGGCUCCCCAGAAAAUGCAAAUUCAAUCGCAGGGUACCUGGGCUGAUGUCUCCCCUCCUAUUUCUGACUUUGCCCUUUGGAGCCUGAGGAGCAAGGGUAGAAUGAGGAUAGUGAGGUUCUUCAGAGGCAAUUAGGAGGUCACAGCGCAGAAACGGCAAGAAAUGUCAGGACAACUACAGAUGUGAAGGCUGGGAGGGGGCCUCCUUCCCCCUGAGGUCCCCAAAGGUAUUUGUCUCCAUCCAGAAACUGAGGGGCAUUUGUCUCUAUCCAGGACUCGGGGGGCAUCCUUCUCCAUCCAGGGCUGGAGUGUGUCCUUCUCCUUCCAGGAUAGGGGGACAUCCUUCUCCAUCCAUGAUUCAGGGUUCAUCCUUCUCUAUCCAGGACUGGGGUUCAUCCUUCUCCAUCUAGGACUGGAGGGACAUCCUUCUCCAUCCAGGACUGAGGGUCAUCCUUCUCCAUGCAGUACCUGAGGGACAUCCUUCUCCACCCAGGACCUGAGGACGUCCUUCUCUGUGCUCCCUUGGGACUGCACCCUUUCCUGGGCCAUCCUUCAGAAUGCCAGGCUGUCACUUGUUGUGGAUUGAAUUCUAGCAUCUUAUCUCUAUUCUAGGUGAGUCCCUUCACAUUUAUAGUGAUUUACCAUUUAAUCAACUGUGCCAUUUUCCCCAAAAUAUGUGGGGUUUGGUUUUUGUUCUUAACUUCUAUUAAUUCUUUGGUUCCCACCUCCAGUUUUUUUGUAAUUUCUUUUGCAACCUAGUAUGGUCUCAUUUGGUAAGUAUCACCAUGUAUUAGAAAAUAAUGUAUGUUCAGUAUUUGUUGUGAUUUUUAAACCUUUAAUACUCAUAAGAUUUUUGUGUAUUUUCCAUUUAAUUUCAGAAGUACAAUCCCAGUUUUCCUCUCUCGAUCUCCUCCCAUUAGUCUCCCUGUGUGUCCUGGAGGUGAGGCCAGCAUUGGACUUAACCCUGUGUCACCUGCUUGGUUCUAUUGCUCACGUGUGGCAUCCAUUCUGUUGUUUAUUAUUUCUUCCUUAAAUUGUAUUUGAACUAAGAUGAAUUUUGCUAUAGCAACUUGCUUUCUGUGAAUAUUUACUUAGUGGUUUCAUCCAUUCUUUUUUGCCCUUAAUUUGAAAGUGCUGCUUUGCUAUUGAUAAUUUUGUAUUUUAAUAUGUGUGGUUAAUCCCUCUGUGUUUGGUAGGAAAAAGUGAUAGAUUUGAACUUAUUUCUAUCAUGUGAUUUUGGAUUUUGGAUUUGCAAAACUUUACCCUUGAUUCUCUUUUCCUUUCUCCAGACUCACUUUCAAUUGACAUGUCCUUUUUCACUUCCUUCCUGUGCUGGUUUGUAGGUUUUCCAGCCUAUUUACCUUUCUUUAGUGUCCUACUUUUUAAGAUAAUUCUUAAAUUAUCGACUAAUAAUUUUAAGCAUAUUGGAUUUGCGGUUUUCUCCCAGCGCUCUAGUUAUAAUCUCUUCUAUCUUGUUGUUUUAUUGUUAUUUUUCCAUUGAUUCCAGAGACGUAGGUAUUAGAAUUGUCAAAUUGUGAAUUCAAGCAUUCACCCUUUAAAUUUGGUUAUUUUUGCUUCCUGUAUUUUGUUAUUUAGUAUCAGGUGCAUGCAUGCGUAUGAUCAUUAGGUUUUCUAAGCAAAAGGACUCAUUCAUAUGAAAUGUCCUUCUCUGUCCCUGGCGAUGCUAGUCCUUCCUGCCGUCUGUCUCGUCUGCCAUCCGUACACCUGUGCAGCCUCCUGAUAACAAGCAUUUCUGUGGUAUACAUUUGUCCGUCUUUUCAGUUUGAAUCUAUUUGUAUCUUUAUCUCGAAAGAACGUUUCCUUGUAAAAGCCUAUGGAGGCUUUCUUUUCACCUACACUGACGGUCUCUUUUUCAGUGGCAGUGUUCAGUCAGUACAGAUCUGCUAUUCGUGUGGUUGGGUUUAAGUUGGCUCCUGAACCUGGUAUUUCCUCUGUUCCACUUUCCUGGUCUUCUGGAUUAUCGUAGUUUUGCUUUGUUUGUUUGUUUAAUAAGGGUUUUUUUGUUUUUUUUUUUUUUAGUAUGGAUUUUGUAACUUGUUUUUUUUAACUAUGACUUCUUCUUUUAUUUAUUUUCAGUGAGUCAUUUAGAAAUUAAAAUAUACUUAAAGUCUCAUAUUAAAUAAAGAUCAUAGCAUUUUAUGUAAA